GAUGAAGAACGUAGCGAAAUGCGAUACUUGGUGUGAAUUGCAGAAUCCCGUGAACCAUCGAGUCUUUGAACGCAAGUUGCGCCUGAAGCCUCGGCUAAGGGCACGUCUGCCUGGGCGUCACGCAUCGCGUCUCCCCCAAACCGCCAAGGCGGAGGGGAAGGAAGAUGGCUUCCCGUGCCUCACCCGGCGCGGUUGGCCUAAAUUUGGAGCCCGCGGCACUUAGCUCACGCGGCGAUAGGUGGUGAACAAGGCCUUGGCCGUGCAAACAACCCGCUGCGAAGCUCUAUGUCACGUGCGCGCGUCGGACCCUUUGACGUUGCCUUCGGUGACUUAAAACCUUUGCGACCCCAGGUCAGGCGGGGCUACCCGCUGAAUUUAAGCAUAUCAAUAAGCGGAGGA
This 399-nucleotide unclassified non-coding RNA is filed under the name soil metagenome. RNAcentral's name for it is "partial contains 5.8S ribosomal RNA, internal transcribed spacer 2, and large subunit ribosomal RNA". The stretch from base 1 to 120 matches the Rfam family "5.8S ribosomal RNA", at positions 35 to 154 of the family's 154-position model. The record is from RNAcentral.